GUGCUCGUUUCAGCAGCACAUAUACCAAAAUUGGAACGAUACAGAGAAGAUUAGCAUGGCCCCUGCACAAGGAAAGGCCAGGGCAGGUAAGAGGUUAUGCCAAGCUAG
Ochotona curzoniae (black-lipped pika) is the source of this 108-nucleotide small nuclear RNA. The record is from RefSeq and is a predicted model, not a curated record. NCBI's taxonomy places the organism in Eukaryota, Metazoa, Chordata, Mammalia, Lagomorpha, Ochotonidae.